Molecule: ribosomal RNA, 301 nt
Filed under: uncultured bacterium
Lineage: Bacteria
Description: partial 16S ribosomal RNA
Rfam family: Bacterial small subunit ribosomal RNA
Source: RNAcentral
CAGUAGCCGCGGGAAUACGAAGGGGGCUAGCGUUGCUCGGAAUCACUGGGCGUAAAGGGCUCGCAGGCGGUUUCUUAAGUCUGAUGUGAAAGCCCCCGGCUCAACCGGGGAGGGUCAUUGGAGACUGGGAAACUUGAGUGCAGAAGAGGAGAGUGGAAUUCCACGUGUAGCGGUGAAAUGCGUAGAGAUGUGGAGGAACACCAGUGGCGAAGGCGACUCUCUGGUCUGUGACUGACGCUGAGGAGCGAAAGCGUGGGGAGCGAACAGGAUUAGAUACCCCUGUAGUCCCUGUCUCUUAUAC